RNAcentral lists this unclassified non-coding RNA (231 nucleotides) under plant metagenome. Its description in RNAcentral is "partial contains small subunit ribosomal RNA, internal transcribed spacer 1, and 5.8S ribosomal RNA". The record is from RNAcentral.
UCUCCGUUGGUGAACCAGCGGAGGGAUCAUUACAGAGUUGCAAAACUCCCAAACCAUUGUGAACGUUACCUAUCCCGUUGCUUCGGCGGGCGGCCCGGGCCCCGCGCCCGGCGCCCCCCGGCCCCCCGUGGGCGCCCGCCGGAGGUAAACCAAACCCUUGAAUUGCAUGGCCUCCCUGAAUCUUCUGUACUGAAUAAGUCGAAACUUUCAACAACGGAUCUCUUGGUUCUG